CAAUAACAGGUCUGUGAUGCCCUUAGAUGUUCUGGCCGCACGCGCGCUACACUGACGCGAUCAACGAGCCUAGCCUUGGCCGAGAGGUCCGGGUAAUCUUGCAAACCGCAUCGUGAUGGGGAUAGAUUAUUGCAAUUAUUAAUCUUCAACGAGGAAUGCCUAGUAAGCGCGAGUCAUCAGCUCGCGAUGAUCACGUCCCUGCCCUUUGUACACACCGCCCGUCGCUCCUACCGAUUGGGUGUGCUGGUGAAGCGUUCGGAUUGGUGGCUCCAAGCGGUUCGCCGCCGGGGGCAACCGAGAAGUUCGUUAAACCCUCCCACCUAGAGGAAGGAGAAGUCGUAACAAGGUUUCCGUAGGUGAACCUGCGGAAGGAUC
RNAcentral lists this ribosomal RNA (375 nucleotides) under Elliptochloris marina. RNAcentral's name for it is "SSU rRNA". It matches the Rfam family "Eukaryotic small subunit ribosomal RNA", at positions 1451 to 1827 of the family's 1831-position model. The record is from RNAcentral. Lineage: Eukaryota; Viridiplantae; Chlorophyta; Trebouxiophyceae.